Molecule: ribosomal RNA, 253 nt
Filed under: uncultured bacterium
Lineage: Bacteria
Also listed under: 1 other name
Description: partial 16S ribosomal RNA
Rfam family: Bacterial small subunit ribosomal RNA
Source: RNAcentral
UACGUAGGGGGCUAGCGUUGUCCGGAAUCAUUGGGCGUAAAGAGCGUGUAGGCGGCCCGGUAAGUCCGCUGUAAAAGUCAAAGGCUCAACCUUUGAAUGUCAGUGGAUACUGCCGGGCUAGAGUCCGGAAGAGGCGAGUGGAAUUCCUGGUGUAGCGGUGAAAUGCGCAGAUAUCAGGAGGAACACCAAUUGCGAAGGCAGCUCGCUGGGACGUAACUGACGCUGAGACGCGAAAGCGUGGGGAGCAAACAGG